This 494-nucleotide ribosomal RNA is filed under the name uncultured bacterium. RNAcentral describes it as "partial 16S ribosomal RNA". It matches the Rfam family "Bacterial small subunit ribosomal RNA", at positions 28 to 506 of the family's 1533-position model. The record is from RNAcentral.
GACGAACGCUGGCGGCGUGCCUAAUACAUGCAAGUAGAACGCUGAAGGAGGAGCUUGCUUCUCUGGAUGAGUUGUGAACGGGUGAGUAACGCGUAGGUAACCUGCCUGGUAGCGGGGGAUAACUAUUGGAAACGAUAGCUAAUACCGCAUAAGAGUAGAUGUUGCAUGACAUUUGCUUAAAAGGUGCAAUUGCAUCACUACCAGAUGGACCUGCGUUGUAUUAGCUAGUUGGUGGGGUAACGGCUCACCAAGGCGACGAUACAUAGCCGACCUGAGAGGGUGAUCGGCCACACUGGGACUGAGACACGGCCCAGACUCCUACGGGAGGCAGCAGUAGGGAAUCUUCGGCAAUGGACGGAAGUCUGACCGAGCAACGCCGCGUGAGUGAAGAAGGUUUUCGGAUCGUAAAGCUCUGUUGUAAGAGAAGAACGAGUGUGAGAGUGGAAAGUUCACACUGUGACGGUAUCUUACCAGAAAGGGACGGCUAACUACGU